Molecule: ribosomal RNA, 537 nt
Filed under: Cornufer cf. guppyi FB-2006
Lineage: Eukaryota; Metazoa; Chordata; Amphibia; Anura; Ceratobatrachidae
Description: partial 16S ribosomal RNA
Rfam family: Bacterial large subunit ribosomal RNA
Source: RNAcentral
CGCCUCUUGAUUAAACAUAAGAGGUCCAGCCUGCCCAGUGAUUAUUUAACGGCCGCGGUAUCCUAACCGUGCUAAGGUAGCACAAUUACUUGUUCUUUAAUUUAGGACUAGAAUGAAUGGCAUCACGAGGGUUACACUGUCUCCUCUCCCCAAUCAAUGAAAUUGACCUCCCCGUGAAAAGGCGGGAAUCAUACUAUAAGACGAGAAGACCCCAUGGAGCUUUAGACACCGAACAAAUUUAAACCAAAACCCCUCAAGUUUAAAAUACAUGUCUCUAAGUCUUUGGUUGGGGCGACCAUGGAGUAAAAAACAACCUCCAUAAUGAAUAUAUAUUUAAGAACUACACCUCUAAGAAACAGUAUACUGACGUUUAAUGAUCCAGACCACUGAUCAAUGAACCAAGUUACCCUGGGGAUAACAGCGCAAUCUACCUUAAGAGUCCAUAUCGACAGGCAGGUUUACGACCUCGAUGUUGGAUCAGGAUACCCCAGUGGUGCAGCCGCUACAUAAGGUUCGUUUGUUCAACGAUUAAAAUCC